GAUCCCGUAGCUCAGUUGGUAGAGCGUGAGAUUCCAAAUCUCAAGGUCAUCCGUUCAAGCCGGGUCGGGGUCA
The sequence is a transfer RNA, 73 nucleotides long. It matches the Rfam family "tRNA". Rfam says of the family: Transfer RNA (tRNA) molecules are approximately 80 nucleotides in length. The record is from Rfam.